This 1021-nucleotide long non-coding RNA is filed under the name Equus caballus (horse). RNAcentral's name for it is "lncRNA (ENSECAG00000036688.2)". The record is from RNAcentral. Lineage: Eukaryota; Metazoa; Chordata; Mammalia; Perissodactyla; Equidae.
GCUAACUGGCGCCAUGUCAGGUUCUGCCACUAGGAGGCGCCAGAGGGAGAUCGCAAAGCUGGAGGACCGAAAAGGGACUUUUAUCUUUCAGUGCCCACCAGUUUCAUCCUGGCAUCGAAGUUUGUUUCAGUCUCUAGGUUUUUUCAACACCCCUAGUACCAGCCUCUUAGUCAUUUCUCUGCCCCAUGAUUUACAAAACUCUCCUACUUUAAAAACAACCACCUCUGGGUUUUAAAAACAAUCCCAGCGCCCUGUGUACAAUUUCACAACAAAGGAGAGAAGCGUCAAGGGCUGGGACGAUAGCAGAGGGGUCUGCGCCUGCAUGAAGACCCAAUUUCUUCCCGGGUGGUGGAUAAAGCUAAGGAGAUAAAAAAUGACCUUUCACCUUCGGGAACAGUAAUCGCCACCUCUCUGGAGCCUGUGCGGAGGAUGAAUUAGGAAGAAACAAGGCCAGACCACCAGUUGGCAGACUGCUGAAGUCAAGAAGUCCUCUAAGCCAGAAGUGAUGAUGCCAUGAACCAGGCUUCUUACAGAGUUGUGGAAGCACCAUGUGGACACAUCGCUAAGGUUUGCUGCAGGCAAGAUAAAGUGGUUGUUGAACAGAUGAGUAAGAUAUUCCUUCUCAUAAGUGAGCCUCAAGUGGAAAUUAGCCCAUGGAAAACUGGCUCCUGCACUGAGAUGGACCAAGAGGGACUCAUCGAGGAGGAGGCGCUUCUUACGGCAGGUGUCAGGGGAAACACUCUUGGCGCCUUGUUUGGGAGGUGGAAUUGGGCCUUGCGCAUGUGGCUUGUUCAGAUAAUAUGUGGAGAUCACUUACAUCCUCUUGGCGUCUUCUCUUGGAUCAAGCAACCAAAGUUAAAGGCCUAGAAACCCUCAAACCAUGUUCCCCAGAGCAUUACUCCUGUUGCAUCCUUCCCCAGCCACAUCUACCUGGAACCAAGACAUGGGACAGGACUGCUGCCACUAGCCCCUGUAGUUCCUUCCAGGGAAUUUUUAAAAGGUGCCGCUUCCUCAAGAUACA